CACGAAUUUGCGAUUUGGACCAAUCUAGGAUUUCUCCAUUACAUUCUCACCCCUCUUCCAGAAGGGCAAAGCGAAUGGCUCACUCAAUUGCGAAAGCCACUCUUGGCCUCACAUGACCUAACCAAAUCGUACCAAAGGUAUUCUUUUACUGUCAAGUAAUCAUGUAAUUGAACACUUUAUUUUCAUUGUGUUGAUAGUAUUUGUUUUGCUUAAGAUUAAGAUAAUCUUCAGAGUUCAUCUGGAUUUAUGCUGAAAUCAAUGGCUUCCUGGAGUGAGCCGAAUUUUACUAAGAUUUAAUGGGUUUAUCUUUGUUCACGCAAAUGCAGAGUCUCGAGUUUUUCAAUCUUGAUUGAUUCUUUGAAUUAAAGUUUGUAUGUGACGUUUAUAUUAUUAGGUUCCUAAAUGUGCAUUAAUACAGAGGGGGUAUGAUGAUACGGAGUGAUAUUUUUCAAUGUUUCACUAUUUUUUUGUAGAUACAAUCUGAAAGAAGUCGAAUAUUUCAGCUGCGUUCUUCUUUAAAAUUAUUGUCAUUUUUCUUGGAGGUAUUUGUGUCUUGUAUGUUCCAUGUCUAUCCCUUGGUACAAUCUCAAGGACGAAUUAUUUCUGUUUGUAAGCAUCAUUCACCCAUGUGCUCGUGCACAUGACAGAUGCUUGUCAAUGUCUGUGUUUUGUUUAUGUAUUUGCAUACAUAUACUUAUGUAUACUUACAUAUAGGUAUGUGUUUAUAUGCCUGUAAGUGCAGCUUUAUGUGUGUUUAAUUUUGGGGGGAUUAGUGAUUGCACCAUCUCUAAAUUUGACCUGUAUUAUUGAAUGAUUGAAGAUUUCAUUUGCGGCAAAAGAGAUUGAUUUGUUAGAAUGGAAAGGCGACAUACUUGCAGUAGGCACAACAGAGACGGACAUGACCAAGGAUGAGAAUUUAAAGUUCAAGAGUUUAAUCCUGCAAAAGCUAGAUUCUCAAUUAGGUGGUUUGUUGUCUGAAGCAUCAUCAGAGGAGGAUUUUACUGGAAAGGCUGGACAGUCAACUGUUCUUAGGCUGCCCAAUCUUGGAUUGAAAACGGUAUGUCUAAUUAGUCUUGGAUCAGCGACAUCAGCAACUGAUGCAUAUCGCAGUCUUGGUGAGGCUGUUUCUGCAGCAGCUAAGUCUCCUCAGGCAAGUAAUGUUGCCAUCACACUUGCUGCUUCUGGAGAGCUUACUACAGAAUCAAAGCUAAGCUUUGCUUCAGCCAUAGCUACUGGUACUUUUCUUAGAUUACUUCUUUUUCAUUUGACCACAACAUCAGUUUGUUGCUACUUCAUUAAAUUAAUAUUGGGGGAAUGUCUCAAAUGCCAAAGGAGCUGUACUGGGGACUUAUGAAGACAACAGAUUCAAGCAGAGUCGAAGAAACAGGGUCUCAAAUCAGUGGAUAUUCUUGGUCUUGGCACUGGAUGUGAAAUAGAAAAGAAACUCAAAUAUGCAGAAGAGAUUUGUUCUGGGAUAAUUUUUGGAAAAGAGCUAGUAAAUGCACCUGCUAAUGUACUCACCCCUGGUUAGUUAUCUUUCUUAUUGUACUAUUUCUUUUUUUGAUUACUUUACGUUACUAGUGAAAGAGUAAUUAUCGCGGAAAGUUGUUUGGGUAUAAUCAAGGUGGGAUCAUUUUUCCUAUGACCUUUUAAAUUGUACAUUUCUUUAUUGCCUCAGUCUCUUCACGGGGUAAAAUAUGCGUUAUCUUGUUAAUUUGGUUAAUUGGAUAUGUUAGGCAGAAGAGGCCAAAAGGAUUGCUUCUGAGCACGGUGAUGUUCUUUCUGCAACAAUCUUGGAUGUAGAGCAAUGCAAAGAAUUAAAAAUGGGUUCUUAUCUCGGUGUUGCAGCAGCAUCUGCUAAUCCUCCUCAUUUUAUCCACUUAUGUUACAGGCCUCCAUGGGGAGCAGUCAAAACCAAGCUGGCCUUAGUUGGAAAGGGGUUGACGUUUGACAGGUGAAUAAAUAUGUAUUACCAAAUACUUACAUUUUAAGGGAUGCCUUCUGAAAUCUGGUUGAAAUGAAAUAUAUUUAUUUCGUUUCAUGGGGGUCCUCAGUAGUGCAAAAUCUUCUGAAAUUUUCCUCUUUUAUGUUCCUGUGGUGGCUACAAUAUCAAGACAGGACCAGGUUGUUCCAUUGAGCUCAUGAAAUUAGACAUGGGAGGUUCAGUAGCC
Molecule: long non-coding RNA, 2171 nt
Filed under: Olea europaea subsp. europaea
Lineage: Eukaryota; Viridiplantae; Streptophyta; Magnoliopsida; Lamiales; Oleaceae
Source: RNAcentral